RNAcentral lists this unclassified non-coding RNA (1266 nucleotides) under Hevea brasiliensis (rubber tree). The record is from RNAcentral. Lineage: Eukaryota; Viridiplantae; Streptophyta; Magnoliopsida; Malpighiales; Euphorbiaceae.
UGGCAUACUCUCCCAAAAAAAAAAGAGCAGACCCCAUUGAAGACGAGAGUGAGGUACAACAAGGCCAUUUCUGUCCACCGCCCUUCUCACGGAACCGUACGUGGACGUUACCGCUCAUACAGCUCCCAGCCAGCAAGCAGUUAGCCUUCCUCUACAAAGAAUGGAAGUGUGGAUGAAUCGACAUCAAAUAGAGGAAUUUGGGUUUUCUUUUCAGCAAUAACAUGCUAAGAGCAUCCCUUUCACAAAAACCUAAAGAUCCCCUCCUAUCCUGCCACUUCAGCACCUUUUGAUCUUUGAGAAGAUCAUUACGAGCCCUCUCCUAGAAUGUUUUUGUAGAUUCCGAAAAUUCCAUGGUGGAUCAGGACGAGAAUGAAUCCGGGAAUCCAGGACAUACUCAUCCUGGAGCUUCUGCUCUCCUCUGGGGAGGGAUUUUUAUAGAUAGAGAGGUGAGUCGAGGGUAGCCUCCCGCUUGACCGAUUUCUCGGAGUCGGAGGAAGAUCUCUCAUCUGAUGACCCUGAACAAGAAGGAGCUGCUCUCGAUGUGAGAUCAGCAGCAAAAGAAAGAAGAGGAAAGGGAUGCCCCAGAGCCCGGAUAAGCCUUAAAAAAAAAACACACACAACGGACCGGACACAAACAAAAGAAAGAAGAAAAGGGCCAUGAUGCUGAUCCUAUGUUCGUUUUCGCCCUGCCCCGAUGAUGCGCUCCUAGCUCGCGGAGUUACAUACCAGAAAAAGAAUCUCUCUAUUACUUUGAGAAGAGAAUCGUUGGUUUGACCGACGGACUACGUGGGAAAUACGAGAUCUAGGAAAGCCGCUACAUCUUCUCCCCUUGCCCUUGAACGAUAGAAGAACUACUUAUCUUCUCUUAGAUAGCAGUCGAUCGGUUCGCAUCUAUGGUCAAUCAAUAGGUCCGCGGAUCUAUUCUUCUAUACGAUAAAUCGCCAUCUCGUAGCACCAUCACGACACCGAUUCUCGUUAUUUUUCCGAGCCCCCCAUGCCGUGACUUCGACUUUGAGUAUGAUGAAUGAGUGGAAAGAUCUUUUUAGAAGUCCCUGUCCGAUCCAACCAAAGAGUUAGUAUAUAAAAAAUAUAUCUCUUUUUUAGAUAAAGGGGAGAACUGCGAGUUUUUUCAGAAAAGACUUGCUGCUCCCCUAUCCGAAUCCCGCGAGUGACUAAGCGCGAGACGAGCCAUAACAUAAGGGGCGAAUCUACUCUUCGUAGAAUCGACCAUAGAUAUCUUCUUUUUUCGAAUCUACUCUUCGUAGA